CUUCAAAUGCUGAUGGCCAUCAUCGGUGUGCCAUCGUUGCGAUCCACCUGACGAUGGAGAUCCAUGAUCUCAUUGGCACAUGGGAUGUCUUCUGGUCAGAAGUGGACAAAAAAAAUAAGCACCACAUCCAACACUUUACUUACAUGAUGAGCCAGAGGUACCAGACUCAAUGCAUCCUAUGCUAGCAGCUGCUAACCAUCCUUCUAACAAUUACGAAGAACAUAUACUAAUAUAUAGCUACCAACAACUGAUCCAGUAGCUGUAGGUUCAGACUCUACAACUCAGAAAAAUAAAAAGAGAAAAAAGUACAAAGCACACAAUAUCUCUUCCUUGACAAAGAGUGGUAUUGAGCCGCUGGUGGUUCAAAUACCUAGCAGAGGAUUUAGUGACCUGUUGGAGAACAUUCAACAGAUUUACGUAAUUUCAUUGGAUGGAUGGUUAGAGAUAUCAUCAAAUGUCCAGUUGGUGAAUGGGAAAAUGCAUCUAAAGGACUCCAAUGUCUU
Molecule: long non-coding RNA, 503 nt
Organism: Elaeis guineensis (African oil palm)
Lineage: Eukaryota; Viridiplantae; Streptophyta; Magnoliopsida; Arecales; Arecaceae
Source: RefSeq, a predicted model, not a curated record